GCGGUGCGAGGCUACCAUGCAGUCGAGCGGUAGAGAGGUGCUUGCACCUCUUGAGAGCGGCGGACGGGUGAGUAAUGCCUAGGAAUCUGCCUGGUAGUGGGGGAUAACGCUCGGAAACGGACGCUAAUACCGCAUACGUCCUACGGGAGAAAGCAGGGGACCUUCGGGCCUUGCGCUAUCAGAUGAGCCUAGGUCGGAUUAGCUAGUUGGUGAGGUAAUGGCUCACCAAGGCGACGAUCCGUAACUGGUCUGAGAGGAUGAUCAGUCACACUGGAACUGAGACACGGUCCAGACUCCUACGGGAGGCAGCAGUGGGGAAUAUUGGACAAUGGGCGAAAGCCUGAUCCAGCCAUGCCGCGUGUGUGAAGAAGGUCUUCGGAUUGUAAAGCACUUUAAGUUGGGAGGAAGGGCAUUAACCUAAUACGUUAGUGUUUUG
Molecule: ribosomal RNA, 436 nt
Filed under: Pseudomonas sp.
Lineage: Bacteria; Pseudomonadati; Pseudomonadota; Gammaproteobacteria; Pseudomonadales; Pseudomonadaceae
Description: bacterial SSU rRNA
Rfam family: Bacterial small subunit ribosomal RNA
Source: RNAcentral